Molecule: unclassified non-coding RNA, 1953 nt
Filed under: Rhopalosiphum maidis (corn leaf aphid)
Lineage: Eukaryota; Metazoa; Arthropoda; Insecta; Hemiptera; Aphididae
Description: protein PFC0760c-like, transcript variant X5
Source: RNAcentral
AUUUUUCACAAAAAUUCCUGUAACAAUAAGAACUAGCCACUAAGAACCUAGUAUAUUGUACGUACAGUACAUCAGCAUUUCGACUAUUUUGCGCAUUUAAUACUCUGACAGUAAGAAUUAAGAAUUAAGAAUACGCCUGUGCAUGACAAUUCAGAUAAAAAUGUCAGGUAAUGGUGAAAAUGAUACAAGUAUUCACAAUGACUUAAGUAAAUUUAAUUUGACUUUUUAUGAAAGUAGUAUUGAACUUUGGAGAAUUGAAGAAAUGUGUCGUUUAAAAGUAAAAAAUAUUGAAGAAAUCAAACAUUCUGCUGAACAAGUUACUUUAGAAAAUGAAUGGAUUGAAAAACAAUUGCAUGGUACUAAAUCAAGAUUAGAUGAAGUUAGAGAAAAUAUAGUGAGUAUUGACAACAUUACUUUCUCUCUUAAUGAAACAUUAGCUCAUCUAGAAAUCCAAUAUAAAAAGAAAGAAUUUGCUUUGAAUAAAUCAAAAUGUGAAUAUGAAUUACAGCUGUUUAUAAAAAUGGAGUUGUGGCAAAAAGAAGAGGAACGACUAAAUAAUAUACCCGAAGUUAAAUUAUUAAAAAUUGCUGAUUCUGAACUGAAAAACACACAACUAGAAUAUGAAGAGUUAUUGAUAAAUCUAAAAAAUUUAGUUGAAAAGAUUAACAUAGCUACAUGUGAAAAUGAUGAAAAACGGAACCAUAUCAUUGUAGAAUAUGCCAAUGUUUAUAUUGAAAUGUUAUCUUUAAAUAAGAGAGAAGAAAACUGCAAGACUCUUUUAAGGAAAUUGAAUGCAGAGUAUAAUGAGAAAUGUUGUAUGAAAAAUGUACUUCUUGAAUCCCAAAAUAAGAGAGUUAAUAAAUUAUUAUUUUGGUCACAUACUCCUAGCACAUUUGACUCCAACAUUUUCGAUAUGAAACUUAAUUCACUGAGUCAAGAUCACCUAACACCUAAUUUAACAUAUUCCAGUAAUUAUAAUCAUGACAAUUUUACUUAUGACAAAAAUGAUGUAAAUAUUCAGAAUUCAAAAUUAAAUAAACCGAAAAAAAAUGUAACUUUUUUAUUAUCUUCUGAUGAUAAAAUAUCCCUGGAAACAAAUGAUGAGGAUGUCAAUAUUUGCAAAAACUUAGAUGUACUUACAGAAGAAAUCAAUGAAAAUAUAAAUAACAACUUUUCACAAUUAGAAAAUAUUGUGGAAGAUAGUACUAUUCAAUUUACAAAAAAAGAAUCAAAAGAAAUACAUUUUGAGAAUAAAGAUAAACAUAUGGAUCAUGACGGUGAUCUAAAUUCCUAUACUAAUAUAUCUAAAACUACUGAUGUACUUUCUGGUAUUAAAUUUAAAAAACCAUUCAAUUCAGUACAAGAUACAAGUAUUAUAAAUCCAAAAAUUAUUCAACCAAGUAAAAUGAAGACAAACAAGAACAUAAAUAUGGAUAAUAAUUGUUAUCAAGGAAAAUUUAAACCAUUUAGUUUUUCAAUGAACAAUAAAAAUGAUAAUGAUAAAGAUAGUUGUCUGAUUGAUGAAGACCAAUUACAAAAAAAUGCUAUAAAAUCUUUAGAACACUCAGAUUUAAAAAAAUUUAAUUCUGAUAAUAUUAAUAUAUUUAAUGAUCUAUCUCAAUUACAUGAAAACGUAUCUGAUAAUCAAAACAAAGAAUUAUCUGAUGAAUUUUGGAACUUUUGUACAGAACCGAUGUCUCAAAAUAGUGGAAAUAGCAGUUUAUGUAUUUAUCUGAAUUAUUUGGAAAUUCUUAUGAUAUUAGUCAAUAUCAAAAUAAUUCACAAUUCCAUUUUUCAAACUCUUUUAAGGAUAACUUAGAUGUAAAUCCUGAAUCAAAUUUCCAAAGAUUAAUAAUACCAGAACAACCAGCAAAUUUUAUAUUCAAUCCUUCACUAAGUGAAUCAUCUAAGAAAAGGAAUAUUAAGAAGAAUUUAUCUAUUAAUGAAACAACA